Molecule: unclassified non-coding RNA, 296 nt
Filed under: uncultured fungus
Lineage: Eukaryota; Fungi
Description: sequence contains ITS1
Source: RNAcentral
UAGGACUACAAGGGUAUCUAAUCCUGUUCGCUACCCACGCUUUCGUCCAUCAGCGUCAAUCCAUUAGUAGUAACCUGCCUUCGCAAUUGGUAUUCCAUGUAAUCUCUAAGCAUUUCACCGCUACACUACAUAUUCUAGUUACUUCCUAAUAAUUCAAGCCAAACAGUAUCAAUGGCCGUUCCAUCGUUGAGCGAUGGGCUUUCACCACUGACUUAUUUGGCCGCCUACGGACCCUUUAAACCCAAUGAUUCCGGAUAACGCUUGCAUCCUCCGUAUUACCGCGGCGGCUGGCACCG